GAUUCAGCGGCGGACGGGUGAGUAAUGCCUAGGAAUCUGCCCGAUAGUGGGGGACAACGUUUCGAAAGGAACGCUAAUACCGCAUACGUCCUACGGGAGAAAGCAGGGGACCUUCGGGCCUUGCGCUAUCGGAUGAGCCUAGGUCGGAUUAGCUAGUUGGUGGGGGUAAAGGCUCACCAAGGCGACGAUCCGUAACUGGUCUGAGAGGAUGAUCAGUCACACUGGAACUGAGACACGGUCCAGACUCCUACGGGAGGCAGCAGUGGGGAAUAUUGGACAAUGGGCGAAAGCCUGAUCCAGCCAUGCCGCGUGUGUGAAGAAGGUCUUCGGAUUGUAAAGCACUUUAAGCUGGGAGGAAGGGCAGUAAGUUAAUACCUUGCUGUUUUGACGUUACCAGCAGAAUAAGCACCGGCUAACUUCGUGCCAGCAGCCGCGGUAAUACGAAGGGUGCAAGCGUUAAUCGGAAUUACUGGGCGUAAAGCGCGCGUAGGUGGUUCAGCAAGUUGGAUGUGAAAGCCCCGGGCUCAACCUGGGAACUGCAUCCAAAACUACUGGGCUAGAGUAUGGUAGAGGGUGGUGGAAUUUCCUGUGUAGCGGUGAAAUGCGUAGAUAUAGGAAGGAACACCAGUGGCGAAGGCGACCACCUGGACUAAUACUGACACUGAGGUGCGAAAGCGUGGGGAGCAAACAGGAUUAGAUACCCUGGUAGUCCACGCCGUAAACGAUGUCAACUAGUUGUUGGGUUCCUUGAGGACUUAGUAACGAAGCUAACGCGAUAAGUUGACCGCCUGGGGAGUACGGCCGCAAGGUUAAAACUCAA
Molecule: ribosomal RNA, 820 nt
Filed under: uncultured bacterium
Lineage: Bacteria
Description: bacterial SSU rRNA
Rfam family: Bacterial small subunit ribosomal RNA
Source: RNAcentral